GAGGUAGGCGGAAUGAGUAAUGUAGCGGUGAAAUGCUUAGAUAUUACUCAGAACACCGAUUGCGUAGGCAGCUUACCAAGCCGACACUGACGCUGAGGCGCGAAAGCGUGGGGAUCAAACAGGAUUAGAUACCCUGGUAGUCCACGCCGUAAACGUUGAUUACUCGUUGUUGGCGAUAUAUUGUCAGCGACUGAGCGAAAGCAUUAAGUAAUCCACCUGGGGAGUACGUCAGCAAUGAUGAAACUCAAAGGAAUUGACGGGGGCCCGCACAAGCGGAGGAACAUGUGGUUUAAUUCGAUGAUACGCGAGGAACCUUACCUGGGCUUAAAUGUAGAGUGCAUAGAGUGGAAACAUUCUUUUCCUUCGGGACCCUUUACAAGGUGCUGCAUGGUUGUCGUCAGCUCGUGCCGUGAGGUGUCGGGUUAAGUCCCAUAACGAGCGCAACCCUCAUCGCCAGUUGCCAUCACAUUAUGGUGGGGACUCUGGUGAAACUGCCGGUGCAAACCGUGAGGAAGGUGAGGAUGACGUCAAAUCAGCACGGCCCUUAUGUCCAGGGCUACACACGUGUUACAAUGGCUGGUACAACAGGCAGCUACCACGCGAGUGGAUGCUAAUCCCCAAAACCAGUCUUAGUUCGGAUCGGAGUCUGCAACCCGACUCCGUGAAGCUGGAUUCGCUAGUAAUCGCACAUCAACCAUGGU
Molecule: ribosomal RNA, 701 nt
Filed under: uncultured bacterium
Lineage: Bacteria
Description: bacterial SSU rRNA
Rfam family: Bacterial small subunit ribosomal RNA
Source: RNAcentral